Molecule: ribosomal RNA, 253 nt
Filed under: uncultured bacterium
Lineage: Bacteria
Description: partial 16S ribosomal RNA
Rfam family: Bacterial small subunit ribosomal RNA
Source: RNAcentral
UACGGGGGGGGCAAGCGUUGUUCGGAAUUACUGGGCGUAAAGGGCUCGUAGGUGGCCAACUAAGUCAACCGUGAAAUCCCUCGGCUUAACCGGGGAACUGCGUUUGAUACUGGAUGGCUUGAGUUUGGGAGAGGGAUGCGGAAUUCCAGGUGUAGCGGUGAAAUGCGUAGAUAUCUGGAGGAACACCGGUGGCGAAGGCGGCAGCCUGGACCAAUACUGACGCUGAGGAGCGAAAGCUAGGGGAGCAAACGGG